GCCACAAGAGUCACGCUGUUACCCUUCCUGCCUCCUCCUCGCUCAUUUACUUUCCAGACACCACGGAGGGCAGGUGUGGCGGCCGCUGCUGGGAAUAUAGUGAAGGAUUAAUUAAAAAGGUGCUGUGUCGAGAGGCUUGACGGGGACGAGCCAGUGUUGCCAACUAGCCAGGAGUGAGAGCAACCUUUGAGAUCCCUGCCCAGCGUGGGGAAGGAAGGGAGGCACCAGUGUGAGGAGCGUUGGGAGGCUGCAGCUGGUGUAGUGGUGUGGUGAGCGAAGGAGCGUGUUGGAUUCAAGUGUGUCAUCAGUGGACUGUGCAGGUGUGUGGCGGUCAGUCUAGACCGGCGGAACGCUUGGAUCAGGCUGGUGUGUCCGUCUCUGCUUGGUGUGUGGCGUGGCAAGUGGUCACUGGCGGUGGAAGGCCUGAUGGGCACACUGCUUUGUGGGGACUUGUCACGCCAGGCAGCAGCAGAGUUGAUACACCCGCGUUCAGUGGUGCGCAGAAGCUUGUCCUUCCCGCCCGUUGCCGUCGCAGCGUUGAGUGCUCCGUAACAACGGUCUGCUGCUGAUGAUGUUCUACCGAGGCGAAACCUGGAAAGUAGAAAACAGAUUGGUCAGAAGGGUAUAUUAUAAGUAACCGGUUGAGUCCUAAAUCUUGCCUUCUGGAUGAAAGGAAAACUGUCCUAAUUAAAUUACAUAUCUGCAUAUAAAAAAAAAU
Long non-coding RNA from Portunus trituberculatus (swimming crab), 718 nucleotides. RefSeq lists it as uncharacterized. The transcript has 4 exons. The record is from RefSeq and is a predicted model, not a curated record. Lineage: Eukaryota; Metazoa; Arthropoda; Malacostraca; Decapoda; Portunidae.